Molecule: long non-coding RNA, 366 nt
Filed under: Malus domestica (apple)
Lineage: Eukaryota; Viridiplantae; Streptophyta; Magnoliopsida; Rosales; Rosaceae
Description: long non-coding RNA (MDOM_LNC009815)
Source: RNAcentral
CCCACAUCUCCGUAACCGUCCACCUUCCUCGGACCCACCUGCUCCAAGCUACACUGGGCCUGCCAAUGAUCGAGGUGGCCCAGGUGCGUUCAGUGCACCUCGUUGGGGUGGUCCCAGAAAUGACAACACUCGAACUGGAUAUGGUGGUAAUGCUGGUCGCGGUGGUGGUUGGGGAAGCAGAAGUGGUGGUUGGGAUGGGAGGGCACGAGAAGUGAACCCCUUUGGAGAUGAUGACGAAACAGUGCAGCCGUUUAGUGAGCAAGAGAACGGUGGUAUUAACUUUGAUGCGUAUGAAGAUAUACCGGUUGAGACAAGUGGAGACAAUGUUCCCCCUCCCGUGAUUACCUUUGCAGAUAUUGACUUGGG